AUUGAACGCUGGCGGCAUGCUUUACACAUGCAAGUCGAGCGGCGGCGCGGGGGCAACCCUGGCGGCGAGCGGCGAACGGGUGAGUAAUGCAUCGGAACGUAUCCUCGAGUGGGGGAUAACCCAGCGAAAGUUGGGCUAAUACCGCAUGAGCUCUGAGGAGGAAAGCGGGGGACCUGCGAGGGCCUCGCGCUGGAGGAGCGGCCGAUGUCCGAUUAGCUAGUUGGUGGGGUAAAGGCUUACCAAGGCGACGAUCGGUAGCUGGUCUGAGAGGAUGAUCAGCCACACUGGGACUGAGACACGGCCCAGACUCCUACGGGAGGCAGCAGUGGGGAAUUUUGGACAAUGGGGGCAACCCUGAUCCAGCCAUGCCGCGUGAGUGAAGAAGGCCUUCGGGUUGUAAAGCUCUUUCGGACGGAACGAAAUGGGCGGGACUAAUACUCCUGUCUGAUGACGGUACCGUAAGAAGAAGCACCGGCUAACUACGUG
Molecule: ribosomal RNA, 486 nt
Filed under: uncultured bacterium
Lineage: Bacteria
Description: partial 16S ribosomal RNA
Rfam family: Bacterial small subunit ribosomal RNA
Source: RNAcentral